RNAcentral lists this ribosomal RNA (468 nucleotides) under uncultured bacterium. RNAcentral describes it as "partial 16S ribosomal RNA". It matches the Rfam family "Bacterial small subunit ribosomal RNA", at positions 28 to 507 of the family's 1533-position model. The record is from RNAcentral.
GACGAACGCUGGCGGCGUGCUUAACACAUGCAAGUCGAACGGAAAGGCCCUGCGUUUGUGGGGUGCUCGAGUGGCGAACGGGUGAGUAACACGUGAGUAACCUGCCCUUGACUUAGGGAUAACUUCAGGAAACUGGGGCUAAUACCGGAUAGGAGCUCCUGCUGCAUGGUGGGGGUUGGAAAGUUUCGGCGGUUGGGGAUGGACUCGCGGCUUAUCAGCUGGUUGGUGGGGUAGUGGCUUACCAAGGCUUCGACGGGUAGCCGGCCUGAGAGGGUGACCGGCCACAUUGGGACUGCGAUACGGCCCAGACUCGUACGGGAGGCAGCAGUGGGGAAUCUUGCACAAUGGGCGGAAGCCUGAUGCAGCGACGCCGCGUGCGGGAUGCCGGCCUUCGGGUUGUAAACCGCUUUCGCCUGUGACGAAGCGUGAGUGACGGUAAUGGGUAAAGAAGCACCGGCUAACUACGUG